AUUGAACGCUGGCGGCAGGCCUAACACAUGCAAGUCGAGCGGAUGAAGGGAGCUUGCUCCUGGAUUCAGCGGCGGACGGGUGAGUAAUGCCUAGGAAUCUGCCUGGUAGUGGGGAUAACAUCCGGAAACGGGCGCUAAUACCGCAUACGUCCUGAGGGAGAAAGUGGGGGAUCUUCGGACCUCACGCUAUCAGAUGAGCCUAGGUCGGAUUAGCUAGUUGGUGGGGUAAAGGCCUACCAAGGCGACGAUCCGUAACUGGUCUGAGAGGAUGAUCAGUCACACUGGAACUGAGACACGGUCCAGACUCCUACGGGAGGCAGCAGUGGGGAAUAUUGGACAAUGGGCGAAAGCCUGAUCCAGCCAUGCCGCGUGUGUGAAGAAGGUCUUCGGAUUGUAAAGCACUUUAAGUUGGGAGGAAGGGCAGUAAGUUAAUACCUUGCUGUUUUGACGUUACCAACAGAAUAAGCACCGGCUAACUUCGUG
Molecule: ribosomal RNA, 483 nt
Filed under: uncultured bacterium
Lineage: Bacteria
Description: partial 16S ribosomal RNA
Rfam family: Bacterial small subunit ribosomal RNA
Source: RNAcentral